UAAAAUCAAAGCCCAAGGCCUCGGUAUUUA
Molecule: non-coding RNA, 30 nt
Filed under: Mus musculus (house mouse)
Lineage: Eukaryota; Metazoa; Chordata; Mammalia; Rodentia; Muridae
Source: RNAcentral